CGUAGGGGGCAAGCGUUGUCCGGAUUUAUUGGGCGUAAAGAGCGUGUAGGCGGCCAGGUAGGUCAGCUGUGAAAACUCGAGGCUCAACCUCGAGAUGUCGGCUGAAACCAUCUGGCUAGAGUCCGGAAGAGGAGAAUGGAAUUCCCGGUGUAGCGGUGAAAUGCGCAGAUAUCGGGAAGAACACCCGUGGCGAAGGCGGUUCUCUGGGACGGUACUGACGCUGAGACGCGUAAGCGUGGGGAGCGAACAGGAUUAGAUACCCUGGUAGUCCACGCCGUAAACGAUGGGAACUAGGUGUGGGCGGUGUCGACUCCGUCCGUGCCGAAGCUAACGCAUUAAGUUCCCCGCCUGGGGAGUACGGCCGCAAGGCUA
Molecule: ribosomal RNA, 372 nt
Filed under: uncultured organism
Description: bacterial SSU rRNA
Rfam family: Bacterial small subunit ribosomal RNA
Source: RNAcentral